AAAACCAUCAAAGGGCAGGACGGGAGUUUGAGAGAAGAGUUCACCAUGGAAUUGGACACGUCAGCUACACAACUUCAUGUUAAUUCCACACCCCAACAUGCAAGCACCUCAUAAGUAUGUCCAAAAGAAUUUUGAAAGAUUGAAUGAUCUGCGUAGCUCGCUCGGUUAAGCGUUUCUUCAGUUCGGCCAACGCGUCUCUCAAGUACUCAAGCUCAGACAAGUUGAGGUUGUCCAUGGGGCCUUCCCACCAUGGAGUACUCUCAUGGUUAUCCCCAACCCUUUCCAGUUCUUCACUCUUUUUCUUCUCCUCCUCAAGCUGGAUAAGAAGCUCUGAAUACUCCCGGGUCAGCUCCUCAACAUUGGCUCGAUGGUAUCAUUCAAGAGGUUAAUGUGAGAGCUGCAAGAAAGAAGAACAAGUCUGCAAAUUGUUCGAAUAUAAAUGAUGGAAAGGGAAGGUCAUGGAGAGUGGAACUGAAGCAUAAGAAGGCCGAUGGCCAAGUCUACAUUCCAAAUGAUUGGACUCAGAUCUGUGCUACACAUGACUUUUAUCAAGGAAAGCAUCUGUGCUUCACAUGACUUGAUCAGGGAAAGCGGUACCUGCACUUUUGAGCUCCCUCACAAAGGCAUUGAGUCCUCCCUGUGCAGCCCAGUAUCACCCAUACUAGUAAUGGAAACCCCAACAUCAAAGACACGUUUGGUUCAGGUUUAAGAACCAACCGGAUCCUAUCAGAGCAGACCAUUUUCUCUCCAUUUCCACCCUUCCCCAACAUGGAAUUAGCUAAUGUUAACAUCUUUUUGAAUGUGAAAGAGGAAUAAUCAUUCUCUGAAUCUAGAAGAGAAAAUAUUGCCUGUGCCAGAACCAUCAGCGGGUUCAGGACGAGCCAUAGAAGCCCAGAGAUGAGAGCUAUGAAGAUCAUAGAACCCUACUCGAGUCCUAGCUAGGAAUGGUAAGAAACCAAAGUUCUAGAGAUGGUGAUGGUGGGCUUAUUUGUCCAUGCCUUGCUUCUUCAAUGUGUGUGUGUGUGUUUUUCCUUCUGGUCUAAAUAUUAUAUCGAGAAUCCAAUGUUGUAGAUCGAAGACCACAAACCUUCCUCACAUGGCUAAGCUAGUAAAAAUUUCUGCUUUAUAAAGAAGCCAGCUAGUAUAA
Macadamia integrifolia is the source of this 1147-nucleotide long non-coding RNA. RefSeq lists it as uncharacterized. The record is from RefSeq and is a predicted model, not a curated record. Lineage: Eukaryota; Viridiplantae; Streptophyta; Magnoliopsida; Proteales; Proteaceae. The transcript is spliced from 4 exons.